UACGUAGGGUGCGAGCGUUGUCCGGAAUUAUUGGGCGUAAAGGGCUCGUAGGCGGUUUGUCGCGUCGGGAGUGAAAACACCGGGCUUAACUCGGUGCUUGCUUUCGAUACGGGCAGACUAGAGGUAUGCAGGGGAGAACGGAAUUCCUGGUGUAGCGGUGAAAUGCGUAGAUAUACGGAGGAACACCUGCGGCGAAGGCGGGCAGCUGGGCCAACACUGACGCUGAGACGCGAAAGCUAGGGGAGCAAACGGG
This 253-nucleotide ribosomal RNA is filed under the name uncultured bacterium. RNAcentral describes it as "partial 16S ribosomal RNA". It matches the Rfam family "Bacterial small subunit ribosomal RNA", at positions 524 to 776 of the family's 1533-position model. The record is from RNAcentral.